CAAGCACCCACCCGCAUCCCUGCCACAAAUGCAGCUGCAGAGCCACCAAUGCACACACUGAGGUGGGUACUGGGUCAGCCUGUGCCCCAAGGCCGGGGCUCCUGGGAGGAGCUCUGAAGAAGGGUGCCAGGCUGGCACUCAGUGAAAGCAUCCCAGAGGAGGGAGCAUUGAAUCUGACCCCAGGAAUGGGCAUACGGGGUGCCAGGUGAAGUAGGGUGUGGGGCAAGAGUUUUCAAGGAAGAGGAGCAGCCUGUGCGAAGGCCUGGAGACAGACCGGAGCUUGGGGGACUCAAGACAGUUUUCGGCACGGUGGAAAUGCGGAGUGGGCGGCAGGGCCCUAUGGGAGACAAGGCUUUCUUUAGUUGUGGGCAGAGCUGGGAGUGAGUGCACGGUGACAGAAGCACAGACAAAACACCAGCAAGUGGACAGAAGUCACCGGAGUGCCAGCACAGUGCCUUUUAAAUGACUUGGAGAGAC
RNAcentral lists this long non-coding RNA (477 nucleotides) under Pan troglodytes (chimpanzee). Its description in RNAcentral is "long non-coding RNA NONPTRT004867". The record is from RNAcentral. Lineage: Eukaryota; Metazoa; Chordata; Mammalia; Primates; Hominidae.